This 496-nucleotide ribosomal RNA is filed under the name uncultured bacterium. RNAcentral's name for it is "partial 16S ribosomal RNA". It matches the Rfam family "Bacterial small subunit ribosomal RNA", at positions 28 to 506 of the family's 1533-position model. The record is from RNAcentral.
GAUGAACGCUGGCGGCGUGCCUAAUACAUGCAAGUCGAGCGAACGGACGAGACUCUUUCUUCUCUUAUGUUAGCGGCGGACGGGUGAGUAAUACGUGUAUAACCUACCUAUAAGACUGGGAUAACUUCGGGAAACCUGAUCUAAUAUCGGAUAUUAUUUUGAACCUCAUGGUUCAUCAGUGAAAGACGUUCUUGCUGUCACUUAUAGAUGUUUCCGCGCUGCAUUAGUUAGUUGGUAAGGUAACGGCUUACCAAGGCAACGAUGCAUAGCGGACCUGGGAGGGGAACAGGCAAAACUGAAACUGGGAAACGGUCAGAACGCUAAGGGAGGGCAGAAGGAGGAAAAUUGCAGAAAGGGGGGAAGGCCGGACGAAGCAACGCGGGGGGAGGGAGAAGGGCCUUCGAAUGGUAAAACUCUGUUAUUGGGAAAGAACAUAGGUGGAAGAAACUGUGCAGAUCUUGAGGGUACAAAAGAAGAAAGACACGGCUAACUACGU